UGGGGAAUCUUGGACAAUGGGGGAAACCCUGAUCCAGCGACGCCGCGUGACCGAUGAAGGCCCUCGGGUCGUAAAGGUCUUUCGACGGGGACAAUAGUGAUGGUACCCGUAGAAGAAGGAGCGGCUAACUACGUGCCAGCAGCCGCGGUAAUACGUAGGCUCCAAGCGUUGUUCGGAAUUACUGGGCGUAAAGCGAGUGUAGGCGGUCCGUCAAGUUGGUUGUGAAAUCUCCCGGCUCAACUGGGAGGGUGCGACCAAAACUGACGGACUGGAGUCCGGGAGAGGAGAGUGGAAUUCCUGGUGUAGCGGUGAAAUGCGUAGAUAUCAGGAGGAACACCGGUGGUGAAGACGGCUCUCUGGACCGGUACUGACGCUGAGACUCGAAAGCGUGGGGAGCAAACAGGAUUAGAUACCCGUGUAGUCC
This 424-nucleotide ribosomal RNA is filed under the name uncultured prokaryote. Its description in RNAcentral is "bacterial SSU rRNA". It matches the Rfam family "Bacterial small subunit ribosomal RNA", at positions 355 to 796 of the family's 1533-position model. The record is from RNAcentral.